UACGGAGGAUGCGAGCGUUAUCCGGAUUUAUUGGGUUUAAAGGGUGCGUAGGCGGUCUGUUAAGUCAGCGGUAAAAGCCCGGGGCUCAACUCCGGCCUGCCGUUGAAACUGGCAGGCUAGAGACGGCGAGAGGUAUGCGGAAUGCGCAGUGUAGCGGUGAAAUGCAUAGAUAUUGCGCAGAACUCCGAUUGCGAAGGCAGCAUACUGGCGCCGGACUGACGCUGAGGCACGAAAGCGUGGGGAUCAAACAGG
This 252-nucleotide ribosomal RNA is filed under the name uncultured bacterium. RNAcentral describes it as "partial 16S ribosomal RNA". It matches the Rfam family "Bacterial small subunit ribosomal RNA", at positions 524 to 776 of the family's 1533-position model. The record is from RNAcentral.